This 450-nucleotide ribosomal RNA is filed under the name Streptococcus mitis. Its description in RNAcentral is "bacterial SSU rRNA". It matches the Rfam family "Bacterial small subunit ribosomal RNA", at positions 28 to 471 of the family's 1533-position model. Lineage: Bacteria; Bacillati; Bacillota; Bacilli; Lactobacillales; Streptococcaceae. The record is from RNAcentral.
GACGAACGCGGCGGCGUGCCUAAUACAUGCAAGUAGAACGCUGAAGGAGGAGCUUGCUUCUCUGGAUGAGUUGCGAACGGGUGAGUAACGCGUAGGUAACCUGCCUGGUAGCGGGGGAUAACUAUUGGAAACGAUAGCUAAUACCGCAUAAUAGCAGUUAUUGCAUGAUAACUGUUUGAAAGGUGCAAUUGCAUCACUACCAGAUGGACCUGCGUUGUAUUAGCUAGUUGGUGGGGUAACGGCUCACCAAGGCGACGAUACAUAGCCGACCUGAGAGGGUGAUCGGCCACACUGGGACUGAGACACGGCCCAGACUCCUACGGGAGGCAGCAGUAGGGAAUCUUCGGCAAUGGACGGAAGUCUGACCGAGCAACGCCGCGUGAGUGAAGAAGGUUUUCGGAUCGUAAAGCUCUGUUGUAAGAGAAGAAACGAGUGUGAGAAGUGGAAAAG